RNAcentral lists this transfer RNA (72 nucleotides) under Morchella conica CCBAS932. It matches the Rfam family "tRNA". From Rfam's summary of the family: Transfer RNA (tRNA) molecules are approximately 80 nucleotides in length. Their secondary structure includes four short double-helical elements and three loops (D, anti-codon, and T loops). The record is from Rfam by way of RNAcentral. Lineage: Eukaryota; Fungi; Ascomycota; Pezizomycetes; Pezizales; Morchellaceae.
AGCGGUAUGGCGCAGCGGAAGCGCGCCGGGCUCAUAACCCGGAUGUCCCUCGAUCGAAACGUGGUGCUGCUA